Long non-coding RNA from Cucumis melo (muskmelon), 1417 nucleotides. RefSeq lists it as uncharacterized. NCBI's taxonomy places the organism in Eukaryota, Viridiplantae, Streptophyta, Magnoliopsida, Cucurbitales, Cucurbitaceae. The transcript has 2 exons. The record is from RefSeq and is a predicted model, not a curated record.
UCUCCAUCUUGCGAUCAAUGAAUUAUAGAACAAGACGAUGAAAGUUUCAAAUGAUUUAUUAUUUUAUUGUAGAUAUGUGUAAAUUUAAUCACUAAAAAUAUCAAAUAUCAAUUAAUUAUAAUUGAAGGCCGACAUGGCCACUCCGCCCCAUCCAAGUUGGGCCCAAGCGCCCCCGUCUAGAAACGAGGCACGUGAAAAAUCGCUAUGGGCUGAAAGCCCUAUGAUUCAAAUUUGGGCCUCGAAGAAAAUUUGUCUGACGAUCCAUUUCCCAUUUGUAAAUUCGGCCUGAAAUCUCUGGCGACGGCACCAAGUCGUUCCCCCAUGCUUGCCGUUCACUUCCCGGUGCCACUUCUCCUACUCACCGAACCGAGCGUUUUCGGAACUCAAACAAUUCUUAGUUUCAAGCAGAAUUUCGAACAAGAGCUGUCCAUCGUCGUUCAAUUUGGAAACUUGUAAGGUUUAGAUGGCUCCAUCCUGCGGUAAGAGCCUCCAUUCGUUGGGAGUGGAUCUCAUUGAGAUCUUCGGUACUUUGGUGAGGAGUUAUGCAAUCUGUGUGGCUAAUUCUAACAGUUUUUGUCUUCUAUAAGUUGCUGGCAUGGUUUCACUUUGAUAAUCUUGAAGUGGAGGUAUCAAGGUUUGUAAAUGUCUUAUAUGCUGUUAAAAUAGUCCGAGUAGGAUUCUUUGCCCUACCUUUCUCGGUGUCAAUGUCGUAUGGUUGAUACUGUUGAUACCAAUGGUAUGCUUUGCUUACUUUACCAGCUAGUAUCAGCACAACAGUUCUAUACAUAUAUAUAUACACAUUAUAUAUUAUUCGAUUAUUGUAAACUUAAAUUUCUGCACGAAUUUGUAUUCUAGGACGUGAUAUUUUGGAAGUGGCACAAUUUUUGUGCUAGAAAUCCAGAUAGGCAGCGAAGAAAGCAAGAAGAGAGCUAGAGGAGAAGAAAGGAGGGUGUGGUCUCGCAGCGGAACGGAGAUCCUCUUCUGCGCCCUAAUCUUGGAAUCUGAAUUCAUGGGUUCAGAUAAUGCAAUUCCGGGAAAAGAAAGAACCUCGCUUCGCCCCGCGAAAGAUCACCCACUCCGCGGUUCAAAGAAUUUGAGAAGUCGGUCUUUCUCCUCUGGGGGAAUCCUCCCCCUUGCCUUGACUUUCUCCGGCUUUCUCUUUUGUCUUCCUUCCGGCCGGCGGCCUUUGCCUUAGUUCGUGGUAGAUCCGAGGAGAUCGUAGAUCGGAUCGGUACAACUGAAAAAAGAAAAAUAAAAAGAAGAACUGUUGAACCAUCUAGCUAAACGAACUCUCCUAGUGAGUGUCCCCUAAAAUUAUUAAUGCUUAUUUAAUGCAACAAACAAAAUGUAUUUCAAUCCCACAACACCAAGCUCAUUUAUAUCAAUACUUUUUCCAGCUUGGUUCUUUGGCUCAAAA